This 875-nucleotide ribosomal RNA is filed under the name Neopetrosia subtriangularis. Its description in RNAcentral is "SSU rRNA". It matches the Rfam family "Eukaryotic small subunit ribosomal RNA", at positions 55 to 847 of the family's 1831-position model. The record is from RNAcentral. Lineage: Eukaryota; Metazoa; Porifera; Demospongiae; Haplosclerida; Petrosiidae.
AUGUGCAAGUAUAAACGCUUGAAUCGUGAGACUGCGAAUGGCUCAUUAAAUCAGUUAUAGUUUAUUUGAUGGUGUCCUCCACGUGGAUAACCGUGGUAAUUCUAGAGCUAAUACAUGCAGAAGGUCCCGACUGUCACAGGAAGGGACGUAUUUAUUAGAUCCAAAACCAAUGCGGGUGUCGUUGCCUCGGCAGCGCCCCGGUCCUCUGGUGAUUCAUAGUAACUGCUCGAAUCGCUUGGCCCCCGCGCCGGCGAUGGUUCAUUCAAGUUUCUGCCCUAUCAACUUUCGAUGGUAGGGUAUUGGCCUACCAUGGUUGCAACGGGUGACGGAGAAUUAGGGUUCGAUUCCGGAGAGGGAGCCUGAGAAACGGCUACCACAUCCAAGGAAGGCAGCAGGCGCGCAAAUUACCCAAUCCCGACUCGGGGAGGUAGUGACAAUAAAUAACAAUGCCGGUCCCUUUAGUGGUCCGGCAAUUGGAAUGAGUACAAUCCAAACCCCUUAACGAGGAACAAUUGGAGGGCAAGUCUGGUGCCAGCAGCCGCGGUAAUUCCAGCUCCAAUAGCGUAUAUUAAAGUUGUUGCAGUUAAAAAGCUCGUAGUUGGAUUUCGGGGCCCCGGACGCCUGUUGCGUUCCCCGCUCGACUUGUCGGGUGGGUGCGUGGCGGUCGUCGGUCUCUGAGUCGGAUCGGUCCGCCGAGAGGCGUGCACUGACCGACGGCCCCUGUUGUCUCUCGGGUUGCCCGCCUGCACUUCAUUGCUGCGGACGGGGAGUUCGGGACGUUUACUUUGAACAAAUUAGAGUGUUCCAAGCAGGCCGGUUGCUUUGAAUACAUUAGCAUGGAAUAAUGGAAUAGGGCUGCGUGACUCGCGUCUCUC